GAUAAACGCUGGCGGCGUGCUUAACACAUGCAAGUCGAACGAAGUUUUUCCUUCGGGAGAAACUUAGUGGCGGACGGGUGAGUAACGCGUGGGUAACCUGCCCUGUACAGGGGGACAACAGCUGGAAACGGCUGCUAAUACCGCAUAAGCACUUAGCACUGCAUGGUGCAUAGGGAAAAGGAGCAAUCCGGUACAGGAUGGACCCGCGUCUGAUUAGCCAGUUGGCAGGGUAACGGCCUACCAAAGCGACGAUCAGUAGCCGAUCUGAGAGGAUGUACGGCCACAUUGGGACUGAGACACGGCCCAGACUCCUACGGGAGGCAGCAGUGGGGAAUAUUGCACAAUGGAGGAAACUCUGAUGCAGCGACGCCGCGUGAGUGAAGAAGUAUUUCGGUAUGUAAAGCUCUAUCAGCAGGGAAGAAAAUGACGGUACCGGACUAAGAAGCACCGGCUAAAUACGUG
Molecule: ribosomal RNA, 462 nt
Filed under: uncultured bacterium
Lineage: Bacteria
Description: partial 16S ribosomal RNA
Rfam family: Bacterial small subunit ribosomal RNA
Source: RNAcentral